Molecule: ribosomal RNA, 564 nt
Filed under: Pluteus necopinatus
Lineage: Eukaryota; Fungi; Basidiomycota; Agaricomycetes; Agaricales; Pluteaceae
Description: eukaryotic LSU rRNA
Rfam family: 5.8S ribosomal RNA (bases 235-388)
Source: RNAcentral
UGGGUUGUUGCUGACCUCUUCGGAGGUAUGUGCACGCCUGCCAUCGUUUCAUUCUCCCUUCCACCUGUGCACUCAUUGUGGAUCAAGCCACCAAUCCUUCAGGCAUUCAUUGUCUGGCAUGAGGACUUGCACAUUGCUGCUGUUCUUGGGUGGUUCUGGUCUACGUCUUUAUCAACUCCAUUGUAUGUGAUUGAAUGUAUGAUUUGGGUACUUUACGGCCCAUAAACCUUAUACAACUUUCAACAACGGAUCUCUUGGCUCUCGCAUCGAUGAAGAACGCAGCGAAAUGCGAUAAGUAAUGUGAAUUGCAGAAUUCAGUGAAUCAUCGAAUCUUUGAACGCACCUUGCGCUCCUUGGCAUUCCGAGGAGCAUGCCUGUUUGAGUGUCAUUAAAUCCUCAACUCCAUCUCCUUUGUGGUGAUUGGCGUUGGAUAUGGGAGCUGCUGGCUUACAAGUCGGCUCUCCUCAAAUGCAUUAGCAGGGCCACGCCACUGCAGCUUGGUAUUGAUAGUUGUCUUACCAGGCAAGCAGGUUAGCAAUGUGUCCAGCUUCUAGUCGUCUCUCC